GAGAAAGUAAAUAUUAUUAGGUUAUAGUUAAAUUUAUUUGUUCAUUAAAUUUAAGAUUAUUAGGUGAAAUUUUAAUUUUAUUUUAAUAUUUUUAUUUGAAGCUGUGAAAUUUAUUUUAAAGACAAGGAUUAGAUACCCUUUUAUAUUAAAUGUAAAAAAUAAUCUGGGUAGUAAUAGUUAUGUUCUUGAAACUCAAAGAAUUUGGCGGUAUUUUAUUCUUUUUAGAGGAACCUGUCCUGUAAUUGAUAGUCCACGAUAGAUAAUUACUUAUUUUUGUAUUCAUUUUGUAUACCUCCGUCAUCAGAAUAUUUUUUUAGAAAUAAUGUUCAGGAAAUUCAAAAUAUAAAAUGUCAGGUCAAGGUGCAAUUGAUAAAUAAGUAGAGAUGGGUUACAAUAGAAUUAUUUAUACGAAUUGAUAAUUUUAUUAAUUAUUAUGAAGGUGGAUUUAAAAGUAAAAUUAUUUCUUUACUAAUUUGAUUUUAGUUCUAAAAUAUGCACACAUCGCCCGUCACUCUUAUUUUAAUAUAAGAUAAGUCGUAACAUAGUAGGUGUACUGGAAAGUGUACCUAGAAAGGUA
This 577-nucleotide ribosomal RNA is filed under the name Allorrhizucha preussi. RNAcentral's name for it is "partial 12S ribosomal RNA". The record is from RNAcentral. Lineage: Eukaryota; Metazoa; Arthropoda; Insecta; Odonata; Libellulidae.